UCGAAACCUGCCCAGCAGAACGACCCGCGAACCAGUUGAUAUCACCGGCGGCGGGAGGGGGUACGCGUCCGCAACGGGCGCUCCUCCUUCCCGCCCCACGCCACGGGGAGAGGGACUCAUCCCGCUCCCGGCUGGCGAAACAACGAACCCCCGGCGCGGACUGCGCCAAGGAAAUCUAACGAGAGAGCACGCUCCCGCGGCCCCGGAGACGGUGCGCCGCGGGGUGCGGCGCCUUCUUUCACAUGUAUCCAAAACGACUCUCGGCAACGGAUAUCUCGGCUCUCGCAUCGAUGAAGAACGUAGCGAAAUGCGAUACUUGGUGUGAAUUGCAGAAUCCCGUGAACCAUCGAGUCUUUGAACGCAAGUUGCGCCCCAAGCCAUUAGGCCGAGGGCACGUCUGCCUGGGUGUCACGCAUCGUUGCUCCACCCCACCCCCCCAAACCAAGGCGGGGGCCCCGGGGUGUGGGCGGAGAUUGGCCUCCCGUGCGCUGACCGCUCGCGGUUGGCCCAAAUCUGAGUCCUCGGCGACCGAAGCCGCGGCGAUCGGUGGCGAAACAAAAGCCUCUCGAGCUCCCGCCACGCGCCCGGUCUCCGAGUGGGGACUCUGCGACCCUGAAGCUCCGCGCAAGCGGCGCUCGCAUCGCGACCCCA
This 651-nucleotide ribosomal RNA is filed under the name Citrus reticulata (mandarin orange). RNAcentral describes it as "eukaryotic LSU rRNA". The stretch from base 256 to 411 matches the Rfam family "5.8S ribosomal RNA". Lineage: Eukaryota; Viridiplantae; Streptophyta; Magnoliopsida; Sapindales; Rutaceae. The record is from RNAcentral.